Molecule: ribosomal RNA, 494 nt
Filed under: uncultured bacterium
Lineage: Bacteria
Description: partial 16S ribosomal RNA
Rfam family: Bacterial small subunit ribosomal RNA
Source: RNAcentral
GACGAACGCUGGCGGCGUGCUUAACACAUGCAAGUCGAACGGUGAAGCGCCUUCCUUUUUGGUGGGUGUGGAUGAGCGGCGAACGGGUGAGUAACACGUGAGUAACCUGCCCCCUUCUUCUGGAUAACCGCAUGAAAGUGUGGCUAAUACGGGAUAUUCUGGGUCUGUCGCAUGAUGGGUCUGGGAAAGAUAUUGUUUCGGUGGGGGAUGGGCUCGCGGCCUAUCAGCUUGUUGGUGGGGUGAUGGCCUACCAAGGCGGUGACGGGUAGCCGGCCUGAGAGGGUGGACGGUCACACAGGGACUGAGACACGGCCCAGACUCCUACGGGAGGCAGCAGGGGGGAAUAUUGCACAAUGGGCGCAAGCCUGAUGCAGCGACGCCGCGGGAGGGAUGGAGGCCUGCGGGUUGUGAACCUCUUUCGCCAGUGAAGCAGGCCUGCCUCGUUUGUGGGUGGGUUGACGGUAGCUGGAGAAGAAGCGCCGGCUAACUACGUG